Molecule: ribosomal RNA, 475 nt
Filed under: uncultured Methylophilaceae bacterium
Lineage: Bacteria; Pseudomonadati; Pseudomonadota; Betaproteobacteria; Nitrosomonadales; Methylophilaceae
Description: bacterial SSU rRNA
Rfam family: Bacterial small subunit ribosomal RNA
Source: RNAcentral
UGAAGUUGACGGGGCCGCACAAGCGUGGAGCAUGUGGAUUAAUUCGAUGCAACGCGAAAAACCUUACCUGGCCUUGACAUGUAACGAACUUUCCAGAGAUGGAUUGGUGCUCGAAAGAGAACGUUAACACAGGUGCUGCAUGGCUGUCGUCAGCUCGUGUCGUGAGAUGUUGGGUUAAGUCCCGCAACGAGCGCAACCCUUGCCAUUAAUUGCCAUCAUUUAGUUGGGCACUUUAAUGGGACUGCCGGUGACAAACCGGAGGAAGGUGGGGAUGACGUCAAGUCCUCAUGGCCCUUAUGGCCAGGGCUUCACACGUAAUACAAUGGUCGGUACAGAGGGUUGCCAACCCGCGAGGGGGAGCCAAUCCCAGAAAGCCGAUCGUAGUCCGGAUUGUAGUCUGCAACUCGACUACAUGAAGUCGGAAUCGCUAGUAAUCGCGGAUCAGCAUGUCGCGGUGAAUACGUUCCCGGGCCUU